This is an RNA transcript of Jatropha curcas, 1999 nucleotides long. It is a transcript of the gene named Adenosylmethionine decarboxylase family protein, with no coding region annotated. The record is from RefSeq and is a predicted model, not a curated record. NCBI's taxonomy places the organism in Eukaryota, Viridiplantae, Streptophyta, Magnoliopsida, Malpighiales, Euphorbiaceae.
UCUUAUUCACUUCAUUAUGCCUGCAAUCAUGAUUCUUGGUUGCCUCACCCGCAUGCCCCGUCUCUCUCCCUAACUCUUCUCUUUCUCUCUCUAUAUCUCUCCUUUCUCCACCCACCUAUAAAUACCAUACAGAUCCCUCUUCUCUCUCUCACCUGUAGUUCUCUCUUAAAUUCCCACCCCAGAGCAUAAUACAUAUCUCCAUUUGUAUCCUCUUUUCUUGAGUUUAUUUAAGUCUUUUUUAUUAAUAUAAUUUUCUUGCAGAUACUUGUUGCUAGUACUAAGUUCUACUUCAAUGGCUGUGUCUGGAUUUGAAGGGUUUGAGAAGCGUUUGGAGCUUCAUUUCUUUGGUGAUGAUCCGGUAAUGAUGGAUAAUAUGGGUCUUAGGCUUCUUGAUUUUGAGUCAAUAGUUAAAGUUUUAAAUGCUGUGCAAUGCACUGUAGUAUCAGCUGUGGGGAACCAGUAUUUUGAUGCCUACGUGUUAUCAGAAUCAAGCCUCUUUGUAUACCCCACCAAGAUUAUCAUCAAGACAUGUGGGACCACUCAGCUUCUCAAAUCCAUCCGUCCAUUAAUUCUCUAUGCUUGCAAUCUUGGCCUUUCUUUGUGCUCCUGUAGGUACACCCGAGGUAGCUUUAUCUUUCCCAAGUCACAGCCUCUCCCUCACACUAGCUUCAAGGAAGAAGUCAUUUAUCUCGAAGAGAAUCUCCCUUCCAAUCUUUGUUAUAGAAAAGCUUCUGUUAUGCCUUCUAAAAUCACUUCUCAUUCUUGGCAUGUUUUUACUGCUAGUGACCCAACUCACCUAAUUUCCCAAAACGACGACGUUUAUACUAUUGAGGUUUGCAUGACCGAGCUUGACCGUGUUUUGGCUCGUAAAUUCUUUCAACCUCCUGGUGAUGGCAAGAACGGUGAUAUAGCCGGAAAAGAGAUGACCAAACUUACCGGCAUAGGUGAUAUCAAUCCAGGAGCUAUUAUUUGUGAUUUUGCAUUUGACCCUUGUGGAUACUCCAUGAACGGGAUUGAUAAUGAACGUUACUCUACUAUCCAUGUGACUCCAGAAGAUGGUUACAGCUACGCAAGCUUCGAGUGUGUGGGCUCCAUUUUCGACGAUAAUGAUGACGUGGCUGGGGUUCUAAAGAAAGUUGUGCAGGUUUUCCGGCCGGCAACUAUGUCAGUGUCGACUACAUGCACAAGCCAUGAAGUGUGGACACGUGUUGCACAUGCGCUCGAGCCAAUGGGAAUGAAAUGCCGGAGUUGCGCCAUGGAUGAGUUCCCGGCGAGCGGAAGCGUGGUGUUUCAAACGUUCACAGUUCGCAGGAAGUAAAGAAUCGGAAAAAAUGGUGAAGAAGAAGUCGGUAGAUACACUGAGAGAGAGAGAGAGAGAGAGAGAGAGAGAGAGUGAGUUAGGGUUUAGGGUUGAGUAGAAAAAUUUUUAGGGCGGGUGAGGGAGAAGUUGAUUACGUUUUAAGAGAGAUGUGAUUGGUUAAGAAGGUGAUAAAUGAGAAGUUGACUUGUGUAGAAAGAUAAAAAGUGGGGGAGGAUUUUAUUAGAGAUGAGAGGAGGAGGAGGAGGAGGAGGAUGUGGAAGCAUGAAAAAGAGAAUUUGAUGAGAUGAUGUAUCAUGAUAAUGCACCCCACUUAGGCUAGUCACGCCUAAGAUUUUUGAGGUUGUGUAGUAGUGGGGUUCCAAAGUGCUCUUUGUUUUUCAGGGUGGUUGGGCGAAAUAUCUCAAAUUAAUAGACUUUGAAGGGGUUUAAUGUGCGAAUUUCAGCAAAUGAAACCAAGUUGGCAAGAAUUUACAAGGAGGUCGGGGUUUUUUUUUGGGGUUUUGCAUGGGAUUUUGUUGGGGUUUUUUUUUUAUUUAUGAAAAUAUAAAUAUUUGUGGGAUGGCUACGAUGAUUAUGCAUCUGGCGUGGAAGUCACCAUAAAUAUGAUACAAUCUAACAGCUCUUUGUCGCAUUGUAACACAAUACAGAAUCUACACGUGACCAUAAUUUUGACUUAAA